UUUAGAGUUUAGGAUUUGCUUAGGAUUUGCUUAGGAUUUGAUUUAGGAUUAGGAUUUAGGAUUUGAUUAGCUUUUGGUAUAGGAUUUAAGAUUUGAUUAGGAUUUGAUUUAAGAUUAGGAUUUGAUUUAGGAUUUAGAAUUUGGUUAGGAUUUGAUUAGGUUAAGGAUUUUAUUAGGAUUUAUUUAGGAUUUAAGAUUUAGUUAGUUUUUGGCCUAAUGUUUGAAUGAAAUUCAAUAGGAUUUUCACUAAGAUUAAAUUAAGAUUGAAUUGAGAUGUAUUUAAGAAAUAUUUCUGAUUAUUCUAAU
Molecule: long non-coding RNA, 306 nt
Filed under: Physcomitrium patens
Lineage: Eukaryota; Viridiplantae; Streptophyta; Bryopsida; Funariales; Funariaceae
Description: long non-coding RNA (PPAT_LNC004200)
Source: RNAcentral